RNAcentral lists this ribosomal RNA (492 nucleotides) under uncultured bacterium. RNAcentral describes it as "partial 16S ribosomal RNA". It matches the Rfam family "Bacterial small subunit ribosomal RNA", at positions 29 to 507 of the family's 1533-position model. The record is from RNAcentral.
AGUGAACGCUGGCGGUAGGCCUAACACAUGCAAGUCGAACGGCAGCACAGUAAGAGCUUGCUCUUACGGGUGGCGAGUGGCGGACGGGCGAGGAAUACAUCGGAAUCUACUUUUUCGUGGGGGAUAACGUAGGGAAACUUACGCUAAUACCGCAUACGACCUACGGGUUAAAGCAGUGGAUCUUCGGACCUUGCGCGAUUGAAUGAGCCGAUGUCGGAUUAGCUAGUUGGCGGGGUAAAGGCCCACCAAGGCGACGAUCCGUAGCUGGUCUGAGAGGAUGAUCAGCCACACUGGAACUGAGACACGGUCCAGACUCCUACGGGAGGCAGCAGUGGGGAAUAUUGGACAAUGGGCGCAAGCCUGAUCCAGCCAUACCGCGUGGGUGAAGAAGGCCUUCGGGUUGUAAAGCCCUUUUGUUGGGAAAGAAAAGCAGCAGGUUAAUACCCCGCUGUUCUGACGGUACCCAAAGAAUAAGCACCGGCUAACUUCGUG